GAUGAACGCUGGCGGCGUGCCUAAUACAUGCAAGUCGAGCGAACAGACGAGGAGCUUGCUCCUCUGACGUUAGCGGCGGACGGGUGAGUAACACGUGGAUAACCUACCUAUAAGAUUGGGAUAACUUCGGGAAACCGGAGCUAAUACCGGAUAAUAUAUUGAACCGCAUGGUUCAAUAGUGAAAGACGGUUUUGCUGUCACUUAUAGAUGGAUCCGCGCCGCAUUAGCUAGUUGGUAAGGUAACGGCUUACCAAGGCGACGAUGCGUAGCCGACCUGAGAGGGGGGACCGGCCACCCGGAAACUGGGACCCGGUCCAGACCCCUAGGGGAGGCAGCGGUAGGGAACCUUCCGAAAUGGCCGAAAGCCUAACGGAGAAACGCCGGGUGAGUGAGGAAGGCCUUCGAUUCGUAAAACUCUGUUAUUGGGGAAGAACAAAUGUGUAGGUAACUAUGCACGUCUUGACGGUACCUAAGCAGAAAGCCACGGCUACCUACGU
RNAcentral lists this ribosomal RNA (497 nucleotides) under uncultured bacterium. Its description in RNAcentral is "partial 16S ribosomal RNA". It matches the Rfam family "Bacterial small subunit ribosomal RNA", at positions 28 to 506 of the family's 1533-position model. The record is from RNAcentral.